GCCGGUGUACCGCAUAUAUAGGUGGCCGUAUCGUGGCAGAAUUCUAAGGAAACAGCGCCGAAGAGUGCGUAAUCCCUCGAUCGCAGCAUUGAUUUGUAAUCAUUAGGUCCCGAGUUCGACUCUUGGUGCUGGCACCA
This 137-nucleotide transfer RNA is filed under the name Gammaproteobacteria bacterium. RNAcentral's name for it is "tRNA-Thr". Lineage: Bacteria; Pseudomonadati; Pseudomonadota; Gammaproteobacteria. The record is from RNAcentral.